CAGAGUAGUGUAAAAUUUAAGGAAAGGAAUAUUUCACUUAGAGCUUUUUCAUUGUUGUGUUAAUCUGUACACUAAAUCUUAGAAUGCUGAACCUUUGAGCACUGCUCACUGCCCAUCUGAAAGCCGCCCAUCCUCACCCCUCUGCCCUGUGAACGUCCUUCACCUGUCUUCACCUGAACAUGAAAGUGUUCAGGUGAAUGCUGAUAGUCCAGGUGAAAGCCACCCGUCCUCAUCUGACCUGCGCGACCAACAGUUAACCUUACUGUGGAGGAAGAGGUCGACAGAGGUGGUUGUUGCGGUACUGCCAUCUCAAAUUAAGGGUCGGAGCAUCUAUGUACACCACUCGGAGCUGCGUUCACUACGGCCACACCUGUGGUUGACAGGAGAGGUAGGCAUCUUUAAACCUCUUCCUCUCACUGCUUGUCUGCACUGCUUACACGCUUAGCAAUAGCAAUCAUACUGACGGGCGAACUAGUGAAUAGUUGUUAUAAGUAAUAAAAGGAAAGUUGUUGGUUGCUGUACAGCUGCUACUCUGAGUGAGUGGUGCGCUCAUAAUAGGCCACAUACUGUAUAUAUGCCAGAAUGACGUUAUUCAUUUCAAUGGCCAAAAAAGUUGUUUGCUUUCAUGUGGUGAUGCUGUGUGUUAAUGUUAAUCAAACAGUAUGCUGUGUUCAUCAGAUUAUUCAUGGAUUGAUGCAUCUCAGUGCCUACACACACAAUGUGGUAGACACCAUCUACCUGAUGGACCAUUACACGGCAGGUGUGAUUUUGUUUGGUGACAGAGCCACAGUACGCCGUCAAAGCUUACCUAAGGUAAACUUUGAAAACUAUGAUGCAAUGCUGUCAUUCAUCCAUGUGAAUGGUAAUCAUUGGAACAUGCUGGUUUGUUGCCUUCUUAAUUUUCACUCAGUAAGAUGUUUGUUAUCACAUCGUGAAAUAAAGUAUUAAUUACAGUAUACCCUCUCUUCUUUCACAGUACAUUCAUGCAAAGUCUGGCACAGUCUUCCAAUUGGAUCCAUCACCAGCAUCCUCUGAGCUUGAGGACUCUACACAU
Molecule: long non-coding RNA, 1054 nt
Organism: Gadus chalcogrammus (walleye pollock)
Lineage: Eukaryota; Metazoa; Chordata; Actinopteri; Gadiformes; Gadidae
Exons: 3
Source: RefSeq, a predicted model, not a curated record